Molecule: long non-coding RNA, 1105 nt
Filed under: Sus scrofa (pig)
Lineage: Eukaryota; Metazoa; Chordata; Mammalia; Artiodactyla; Suidae
Description: lncRNA (ENSSSCG00025073004.1)
Source: RNAcentral
CCAGUCAGUCGCUGGUGGUGGUGGUGGCUACUUCCCUUCAGGAAGCCCGGUCUCCGCCCCCUCCUCCCACCCCGUCUGCUCCGCGGCGGAGGCGGCGGUGGCGGCAGCGGUUGUCCCUGCCUCUCCGCCACCUCCACCUCAGCCUAUCCCCCGACCGGUGGCGUUGGCGGGGAGGGGGGCCGUAGUUGUAGACGGCCGCCCCUGCCUCAGAGAAGUUGAAGUUGGAGUGGGAGAGAGGCGGCCAGGUCGAGGCCAUGGAUCUGGAGUGUCAGGGAGAGGGAAGGGGGUUGAGGAGGACACCCCGAGAUCAAGGGGACAGAGACACGGAGAGAAAAGGCUCCAGACGUGGAAGGGCGUAGACCUGCGCUGGGCGAAAUUCAGCAUCCUACAAAGUAGAGCCCUCACGCGGAGGGAGAAGUGAAAUUUGGCCACAGUAGGAAGUAAACACGGGAGCUUCAAGUUGCGGAGGCCCUGGAGGAAGGGAAGAGGGGGUGAGGUAUUUGAGGGAUUACUUUGCAGAGUUUUCCUUAGCUUUUGAGGAUAACACCCUGUAAAACAAGCUUCUAAGAUUUACGGGCCUAUUGUAGUAGUCGUCUGAAUUUAAAUUUGUAUCUACCAGAGUCAAAGAUAAUACAGCAGGACAUCAGAGAGGCAAAAACAGCUUUUAUUCAGUAACUGCAGUAGGGAAAGAGCUGAGCUCCAUUCCGAUUUGCGCAGAGGUGACGGGGUUUUAGAGGGAAAAUGAAGGAAGGGGUUCAGUAGAGUCAGGAAAGCGCAAAAUUACCUAGGUUUGGGCAGUGUCCGUGCACUUAGGCGAGCUGUGUCAUCUUGUGGAAGUGAGGAUUCACUUUUCCCACAGACUGGGAGACCCCAGGCCCUGCCUUUUCUGAUAAUUACACUUUAAAAGGAUGGCUUUCAGAUCUUUGAGAAAGACAUUCCUGAGUUGUGGGGGGUACACAUAUAUCUCAAAGGGACAGAGGAAGAAUUAACAAACAAUUGUAAACCCUUUUUAGUAACUACUCUAAAAAAGAGAGGUCAGGGCCUUAUAUUCAGGUGUUGGCUAGAACAAACAAUAAAUGCCUUUUGACAGCCCUGAGCUUUCCCA